GUGAGGAAUAUUGGUCAAUGGGCGGGAGCCUGAACCAGCCAAGUCGCGUGAAGGAAGAAGGAUCUAUGGUUCGUAAACUUCUUUUGCAGGGGAAUAAAGUGCAGGACGUGUCCUGUUUUGUAUGUACCCUGAGAAUAAGGAUCGGCUAACUCCGUGCCAGCAGCCGCGGUAAUACGGAGGAUCCGAGCGUUAUCCGGAUUUAUUGGGUUUAAAGGGUGCGUAGGUGGUUUGAUAAGUCAGCGGUGAAAGUUUGCAGCUUAACUGUAAAAAUGCCGUUGAAACUGUCGGACUUGAGUGUAGAUGAGGUAGGCGGAAUGCGUGGUGUAGCGGUGAAAUGCAUAGAUAUCACGCAGAACUCCGAUUGCGAAGGCAGCUUACUAGGCUACAACUGACACUGAAGCACGAAAGCGUGGGGAUCAAACAGGAUUAGAAACCCGUGUAGUCC
This 445-nucleotide ribosomal RNA is filed under the name uncultured bacterium. RNAcentral describes it as "partial 16S ribosomal RNA". It matches the Rfam family "Bacterial small subunit ribosomal RNA", at positions 354 to 796 of the family's 1533-position model. The record is from RNAcentral.